Cyprinus carpio carpio is the source of this 3466-nucleotide long non-coding RNA. The record is from Ensembl. Lineage: Eukaryota; Metazoa; Chordata; Actinopteri; Cypriniformes; Cyprinidae.
AUGAAAGAGAAACACAGGUGGCAAGUACAACUGGAGAAACAGAGAAAGAUUAAAAACAAAUGGAGGAUUAUGGUAGAAACUGACAGCACUGUGCUGAAGUUACUGCUGCUCAUAGAGAAUGCAAACACAAAUGCCAUGACGACAAAACUACUCAAGAGCCCAGGAAAACUCAAGGGCCUAACAAUGGAAUGUUUUACAGGCAAGAUUGAGAUGUCAAUCACAAUACACACCCCCUUCCCAAGAACAAGGUCAUUAUGAUCUCACUUCCUCUUCUCUGGAGUGUCCCUGGACAGGGUUGCAGCUAUAAUGCCCAGGAGAAUUUGGCCACACCCAAAACAAAACAUCCAGUAAACCAGCAGAUUCUUAGAACUCAAAUUGUAAUCAAAUUCUGCUUAUAACCAAAUGCAGAAUGUGUGAUCUAUUAUACCUACAAUAGAAAUCUUAACAAAAAGUAUUUUAUGCAUUGAAAAUUGUUGCAAUUUAAAUGCAGAAUUCAUGAUUAUAGGUGUGCCAUGACAAAUCACAAACUCAUUUUCUUUCUCAAAGCUUAUUAUUGUAGUUAAAAGCAGUAUUUCAAAUCUUGCAUAUAACAUUCGCAGCUUAACUAAAAAUGAGGUGUAAACACCAAUAUUGUUUCACGUACUUUUAAAUAUUUUGUUCAUUAUAAAAUAUGUGUGACUCAAAAUCUAACAUCUGAGUGCCCAGGAGUCUUUUAUAAUGGAUGCGUAGGAAGUACCAUAGCUGAAGCAUAUAAUGUGCGUGUGUGUAUGAGACAGGAUUUUUUCUGGAUCAUCCAGGUUAUACGGGUGAGCUAAGUCUGUCACGCAGAUUACUGGAGAUCCAUUCCAAAUGUUCCGUCAAAAAUUCACCUCACAACCACAGCUAAAAUUUAUUUUGUGUAUGUUGGAACACCAAAAUCUUUCUUCUGCUCAUUUUGCUGGCAUGUCUGAUAGGAAGAAUCAUGUGCUUCCCACACUCACACAUACACACACUUCAGGCUCUGCAUAUCGAAGAAUCCUUCACAUUUAGGUGCAGAUGUGAAUGCACCUCAGAGAAAAGGAGAAAUAAAAAGAGAAACCAACAAAAAGAAAGAGAGAAACAAUCAUUAUCCAGGUGCUUUCUGUGAAGGAACUUUUUCCACAGAAGGCAUUUGGACAUCCUCCUUAUUACUUUCCUAAGUUUUGUUUUCCGAUAUUGCAUUAGUGGUUAGAGAUUUCCAUGUUUAGUAUGCAGGUAUUUAGUCAUUCAGAAUUCCUGCUGUUUUGUGGAUAGAUUUGGCGAAUUAGCAUGAUGCUUAUUUUGUUUCAGUGUCAGUUUUUUAAAGGUGCACUCUAUGUAUUUUUCCUCAUUAAAAACUUACACACAUCAAAAUUAAAAGGAAGACGCCAGUCACAAGCAGGCAUUUGCAUUUUAUUUAUUUUUUUACAUGGAGUGGGUUGCCUCUUGGUGGCCACCAUGUUGAUGACCUGUUGAAUACUACACACAUUAUAUUAGUAAACAUAAUCAAAAAUAUCAAUAAACUAAUAAUGGUUGACUGCAAAUUAUGGUUGUGCCGACUGACGAUAGAGAUAUCGCCUGUGGCUGAUUAUUAUAAACAGACUAGUAAUGCCAUGUAAUUAAUAUUAGGGCUUAUUUGUUCCAUCAUAUUUGAGGAGUUUGGUUCAAAAACCCUAUAAAUCCAUUUUAAUAUAAUUUGAGUAAAAAUGUGUUUUCUUUACCAAGAAAGUGGCAAGAUGAAAAACACUAUUUUCUGUUUCAAACUUUCACAUAGCAUCUUUAGGUUAUAAUAACAUUAAAAAUUCAAAUCCAGAUUUAGAUUUUCAAAGAUUUAUUAUAAAAACGGAUAAUUUUUUAUCCAAAAUGCAAUAAAUUCAUUGAAUCAAUAUAAAAGUUAUUUUUCAAAUUGAAACUACACAACAAAGUAAGUUGAUCCACAUAUGACAGCCUCUGAACUUUGUCAGUACUGAUCUUAUUAAUAGCUUACGUUUCUUCCCCACCGCAAAAACCACCACAGGUUCAUCAAUGGCGUCAAAAGUAUUCAUUUUUUAAGGGCUGCACAAUAAAUCGCAUGCGAUUGUCAUGCGCAUCUCAUCAGUAAAGCCAGUUCUGUGAUUAGUAGUAAAUCUCCUUCACAUGCAUUCAGAUGGAGCAGCAUUUAAUACACAGAGCCAUCACUGACAAGCUACACAAUAUCACAUUCUUAAUUGAAGUCGAUUCAUCUGCGAUUAUGACCACGAUAUUGCGUAGCUUGUCAGUUAUUGUUUACAAUGCGUGGAAUGGGGCGCUGUGAUUGGUUGAGCGGAUGUAUUGUAUUCUGCAGAGAAGGGAGACCGGUGUUUGUCGCGAUUUGGAAAGAUAGGGUGAAAACAUGACAGAAUUACGUAAAAUUUUAAAUUGACUUUUCAAUACUGGCCAGAUACUGGCUCAAUUAUUAUUAUUUUUAAAAUAGUGUUUAAUGUGUUUUGGAACCAAACUCUUCAUUCCUUUUUCUGUGUUUUUACAGUGUUACGUGUUAUAACUAAUCACACACAACUCCGUUGACUUUAUGAAUGCAAUGACCAAUCAGAGGCAUUCAGAUGAGUCAUCGCUGAAACACAGGACGUUUGUUGUUCAGUUUGCUGAAUUCUGCUCUCUCUUGCGAAUUCUCUAAUAAUAAACAACAAGGUGCAGUUGUACAUGCAAUGGUAAUAAUAUUAACAUUUGUUGUAGGCAACAUCCACACCGACAGGUGUCAGUAUUAAUCUAAAGUGACUGUUAUAUCAACCAUCAUUAGAAACCACAAAAAUUACCAUGUGUACCUUUGAGGAAGAAGAAAAAGCUCUUACAUUACCUUACUUCUUCUUUUACACCAACCAAAAAAGUCCACUGUUGGUAGGUUUAUUAUUAUAUAUUAUUAGAAAGAUACAGAGAUGUACGGUAAACAGGGCACAUGGGCUACUCAUUACACAGUCUUGACCAAUAUUAGGGGAUGAUAUGAAACAGAGGUAGGAAUGAACAGGUAGAAUUACAUGAAGAAAAGGUCUUCUGAGAAAAAUAUUUUUUACAGCAGUUAGAAGAAGCAGAGUGCCUCUGUUCAAGCAAUACCAUGUAUCUACACACAACCACUCUCAUAAAUUGCAAGACAUAUGGGUCUAACGGUCAUGAAAGCUGCAACUACCUACAAAUUCAGCCUCUCAGUCUCAACCCAUAAUAACUUACAAUGUGUACAGAGAGAGAAAAGAAAUGAAGGAAAGCAUGCCAAAUAAAUGAAAAGACAAGCACUGUUUUUUUUUUCACUACAUGCAUUUGACUAGCCCAUGUCAUGGACCUAGUGUCAGCUUUGUGGGUGCUGAGGAGAAACGUCAAAAGACAUAACCGAAAAAGAAAAAAACCCUGGUUGAUGAUACGUAACUGAAAAGCUAUGUCAGGUGUACUUCUGCUAUGGCAGAGGACAAAGUUGGAGGCUGCAAAAUAACUAUUUGAGGAA